GGAGAGGUGGCAGAGUGGUUGAAUGCGGCGGUCUCGAAAACCGUUAUGCCCGCAAGGGCAUCGGGGGUUCGAAUCCCCCCCUCUCCG
This 87-nucleotide transfer RNA is filed under the name Bacteroidota bacterium. RNAcentral's name for it is "Bacteroidetes bacterium (activated sludge metagenome) tRNA-Ser". It matches the Rfam family "tRNA". From Rfam's summary of the family: Transfer RNA (tRNA) molecules are approximately 80 nucleotides in length. Their secondary structure includes four short double-helical elements and three loops (D, anti-codon, and T loops). Further hydrogen bonds mediate the characteristic L-shaped molecular structure. tRNAs have two regions of fundamental functional importance: the anti-codon, which is responsible for specific mRNA codon recognition, and the 3' end, to which the tRNAs corresponding amino acid is attached (by aminoacyl-tRNA synthetases). tRNAs cope with the degeneracy of the genetic code in two manners: having more than one tRNA (with a specific anti-codon) for a particular amino acid; and 'wobble' base-pairing, i.e. permitting non-standard base-pairing at the 3rd anti-codon position. Lineage: Bacteria; Pseudomonadati; Bacteroidota. The record is from RNAcentral.